AUUGAACGCUGGCGGCAUGCUUUACACAUGCAAGUCGAACGGUAACAGGUUAAGCUGACGAGUGGCGAACGGGUGAGUAAUGCAUCGGAACGUGCCCGGUCGUGGGGGAUAACGCAGCGAAAGCUGCGCUAAUACCGCACACGAUCUAAGGAUGAAAGCGGGGGACCGUAAGGCCUCGCGCGAUCGGAGCGGCCGAUGUCAGAUUAGGUAGUUGGUGGGGUAAAGGCUAACCAAGCCAACGAUCUGUAGCUGGUCUGAGAGGACGACCAGCCACACUGGGACUGAGACACGGCCCAGACUCCUACGGGAGGCAGCAGUGGGGAAUUUUGGACAAUGGCCGAAAGCCUGAUCCAGCAAUGCCGCGUGCAGGAAGAAGGCCUUCGGGUUGUAAACUGCUCUUGUACGGAGCGAAAAGGUCUCCUCUAAUACAGGGGGCUCAUGACGGUACCGUAAGAAUAAGCACCGGCUAACUACGUGCCAGCAGCCGCCGUAA
This 493-nucleotide ribosomal RNA is filed under the name uncultured bacterium. RNAcentral describes it as "partial 16S ribosomal RNA". It matches the Rfam family "Bacterial small subunit ribosomal RNA", at positions 29 to 523 of the family's 1533-position model. The record is from RNAcentral.